Herpailurus yagouaroundi (jaguarundi) is the source of this 475-nucleotide long non-coding RNA. RefSeq lists it as uncharacterized. The transcript is spliced from 2 exons. NCBI's taxonomy places the organism in Eukaryota, Metazoa, Chordata, Mammalia, Carnivora, Felidae. The record is from RefSeq and is a predicted model, not a curated record.
GGACUGUUGAGGACAUGCUGGAGUUGUCCCCUCCUGGUUUGCAAGAGCCGAUUAUUAAAUAUUCGAAAGUGUUGUGAGUCUGCUGUUAAACCACCAGGAAACUGCAUCUCCUGCCUCUGUUGAGUUAGGAGUGGUCAUGUGACUGAGUUUCAGACAACUGGAAAGUGGGCAGAAGAAGUGAUGUGAGUCAAUUUCAAGCCUGGCCCAAAAACCACCUGUGCAAUUCUCCAUUCUCUCUCUCCCUCUGUCCUCUCUCUCAUCCUUUCUCCCUCUCUCUCAUUUUCUCCUCCUUUUGCUUAUCAGCUGAAAUCAGAGGAUCCGCUGAAGAACUCCAAGUCGCUGCCAAAUGGAAAGCCAUCAUAUGAAUAAAUUCUGUUUCCAGAGGACUGGGUAGAGCUCCUUCCACCCCCACCAACCAGAUGACCUAUACUGAACUGUAAUAAAAGAGAAAUAAAUCUUUACUGUGUUAAGCCAA